RNAcentral lists this unclassified non-coding RNA (540 nucleotides) under Candida dubliniensis. RNAcentral's name for it is "sequence contains 18S rRNA gene, ITS1, 5.8S rRNA gene, ITS2, 28S rRNA gene". The stretch from base 181 to 334 matches the Rfam family "5.8S ribosomal RNA". The record is from RNAcentral. Lineage: Eukaryota; Fungi; Ascomycota; Pichiomycetes; Serinales; Debaryomycetaceae.
GUAACAAGGUUUCCGUAGGUGAACCUGCGGAAGGAUCAUUACUGAUUUGCUUAAUUGCACCACAUGUGUUUUGUUCUGGACAAACUUGCUUUGGCGGUGGGCCCCUGCCUGCCGCCAGAGGACAUAAACUUACAACCAAAUUUUUUAUAAACUUGUCACGAGAUUAUUUUUAAUAGUCAAAACUUUCAACAACGGAUCUCUUGGUUCUCGCAUCGAUGAAGAACGCAGCGAAAUGCGAUACGUAAUAUGAAUUGCAGAUAUUCGUGAAUCAUCGAAUCUUUGAACGCACAUUGCGCCCUCUGGUAUUCCGGAGGGCAUGCCUGUUUGAGCGUCGUUUCUCCCUCAAACCCCUAGGGUUUGGUGUUGAGCAAUACGACUUGGGUUUGCUUGAAAGAUGAUAGUGGUAUAAGGCGGAGAUGCUUGACAAUGGCUUAGGUGUAACCAAAAACAUUGCUAAGGCGGUCUCUGGCGUCGCCCAUUUUAUUCUUCAAACUUUGACCUCAAAUCAGGUAGGACUACCCGCUGAACCUAAGCAUAUCA